GCCAUAUGCUGCAUCACAUGUCAGGCAGAGGACUGGGCGGGGGAGUUUCCCUACAUGGCUGGUGACGGCUGGAUCCUCACACAACAGCUCCUCCGGACAUCGGGCUCUAUUCAGCAGACACAGCUGUGUGGAACGCCAGAGAGGAGUGCAGCAUAUUUCCGGUGUGGCGGUCCUACAUGCCAUAGGACUCCAGUCAAACGCGAUGAAGCGCGCACAGUGCAUAGAACAGGGUAUCGCCUGUGACACGCGGGUGGGAGCCUGGCUUGUAGUGGCAGAGACGAUCUCGCAACCCGCUGUGUCGUUCGUAUUUCCUCCCAACCCUGGAACGACCUUAAGGAGGGUUGGGUCUGACCGGAGGUGCAGUGGCCCACCGCCCUGUGGUCACCCCAACCUGGUUAGGCUGUCAGUCAGGUUGCCACCAACAUGGGAGAUGAACAGAUAAUAAUCUGCAUAGGAACAGGCUGCACUCUGACUGAAUGCAGGGUUCUCUUGGUGGUCAACCCAUAAUUGUGGAAUUACGGAUUUUCGUCUUAUGCCCAGCGCCCCAGCUAAUGAAAGGAUGAACCAGGGAGGGACCCAGAUUCCCUUCAACAAGCAAUACGUUUUCCGUGAGUGGAUGCCGAGCCAUGGGCCUACACCAGCCUACACCAGCCUACACCAGACUACACCAGAUUACACCAGAUUACACCAGUUCACACCGGACUACACCAGACUACACCAUACUGUACAGGACAAAAUCAAAUGUCGGCGAUCCUGGUGGUACAACAAAGCGAGUCUCGGGGCGAACUGACGGUGAUGGGUUUCCAUGGUAACCAAACGCCGGUGAAGCUCAGCCCCAAGUGGAGUGACCAGCUGACCGCACAGUGCCUUGCAGACCGAGACGGAACGGUCGGAAACAGGGUGGGGGAGGGGGUUCUGCAGAGUCCGAACGGCUGGUCUCUCUGAAGACCAGCGUGAAAGAGAGAGGGAGAGAGAGGGAGAGAGAGAGGAGAGAGGGAGGGAGAGAGGGAAUGGGAGAAAUGGAGGGAGAGAAGACUGGCAUGCUACUGUGGCUUGGUUUGUGUUGGGAGUGCUGGAAGGAACAUCAUGCAAGAUAAUUUUCUAAUCUUCACAUCCAAAUGAUCCGGUCGGCCAAAUCACGGCCGGCGAUGCACAGUAAGGUCCCUGCGUUGGUGCGGAGAUAAUGACCGCCGGCUGCAUCCACCCAGCAGACUGUUUAUUUGGCACGUUAAUGAAUGCCGUCCCCUCGAUCGUCUGUCACGCUUCCCGAACGCUGUCACGACAACCAGCGGGGCCUGCGUAGGGUGAGGCGGCGAGUCGUGACGGGGGAGGAGGAAGAUGAUUAUCUCCGGGGUAGGCUGGUGAGAAGUCGGACGCGGCGAAUGGGAUGGACGCGAUGUGUCCGAUGUGCUUGACGCUGUUCCCAUUCAGUGCAUUCCAGCCGUCGCAAUUAGCGGACAGUUUGAGAGGAGGUGACAGUGGACACGUCACCCCUCCCCCACGAAUGACGCACAGCCUCCUUGGGUCAGUCGGUGUCAUUUUGUAAAUGUUAGAUUUCCAAGAUGCAGGAAUCACCCGAGUUUAGUGAAAAUGUGUCCAGUGGUGUCUGAGAUAUUGUGUGGGUUAUCAAGAUUCACUUCCCUGAGCAUGUGUGCCAAAUUUUUUACAGAGCAGUGGACAUAGUGUGUGCCUGUUUUAGCACCACCACAAGGUCGUUAUGAAUGUUGUUGCAUAUGUUGUGCCUUGGUAGUGUCUAAUAUGCAUACAUACAACAUUUUGGGCGACAUGACACCACUCAGAUGGCCACCUUUCUAGAUGCAUUAUUUCAGUCUACAGGGCUGGGAUUGUUGGCUGCAGACCAAACUUUGCUGACAUUAUCAAAUCACACAACGGAAUCCACUGGGUUCUGCUUGGCUGAAUUAACAACGAAAACCGCAAACUGUUUUUGUCCGUUCACCCCGAUCAACUACCCACACAUAUCCACUUAUCGUUACGAAAUAAUAAUAAUAAUCUCUUUUGUAAGGACGUCAUUGCUGGCUGCUAAACUGUGCAAAGAAUAAGAACAAUGGAGAGUGGGUGGAAGGAUUUAAUUGUAGCUACCAGUCCUUAGUUCAUUCAACAGCAACAAUACUGGCUGGGUUAAUUUAAACAGCAUCCAAAUGGGGGAGAUGUAAAAUGUCUUCCUUGUACCCGAGUACCUUGAGAAAUGCAUGUAAAAAACCUUUUCAUGCUGAUGCCAGAGGAAUUAGUAAUUUAUCAGUGAAAUGUGUGCUCUGUUGGACAGCAGGGUUCGUCCAGAAGGAGACCUUACUCCUUAUAUAGUGGGCCAGAUUUGACCAGGUCUCUGGUCAGGUCUCUGGUCAAAUGCAAUUUAAAAUAAAGGUAAUUAGGUGCACACCUGUAAAUGCAUGUAUGUCAAUAUGGAUUAUAUUCUGCGUAUUUUGUCUUAUAUUUUGUCUACCACCAGUAGCCCUGUCACAAAAUAAA
This is a long non-coding RNA of Esox lucius (northern pike), 2487 nucleotides long. Lineage: Eukaryota; Metazoa; Chordata; Actinopteri; Esociformes; Esocidae. The record is from Ensembl.